RNAcentral lists this ribosomal RNA (715 nucleotides) under uncultured Clavaria. Its description in RNAcentral is "eukaryotic LSU rRNA". The stretch from base 282 to 435 matches the Rfam family "5.8S ribosomal RNA". The record is from RNAcentral. Lineage: Eukaryota; Fungi; Basidiomycota; Agaricomycetes; Agaricales; Clavariaceae.
CUUGGUCAUUUAGAGGAAGUAAAAGUCGUAACAAGGUUUCCGUAGGUGAACCUGCGGAAGGAUCAUUAUUGAUUUUUAAAGAUGUGCUGGCACUCCUUCACCGGUUUGCAUGUGCACUCUGCAAAAUCUCCUUCUCUUACCCCACUGUGCACACCCAAGUAGACAAACAGAGUUACAGAGCAAUCUGUGUAAUUCCUGAUUUGCCUAUGUUUUUAUCAAACACCAAUAACAAUCUCAGAAUGAUCUAUAUAGUAAGCUUUUAACAAGCUGAAAUUUAAUACAACUUUCAACAAUGGAUCUCUUGGUUCUCGCAUCGAUGAAGAACGCAGCGAAUUGCGAUAUGUAAUGUGAAUUGCAGAAUUCAGUGAAUCAUCGAAUCUUUGAACGCACCUUGCACCCUCUGGCAUUCCGGAGGGUAUGCCUGUUUGAGUGUCAUUAAUCUCUCAACACAAGAAACUUUGUCUCCUUGUGCUUGGAUAUUGAAGGUUUUGCUGGCGCAAACAACUGUCAGCUCCUUUUAAAUGUAUUAGCAGAGCAGUAUAGGACUGGCCUCGGUUUGAUAAGAAACUUUAUCUAUGCUGUCGCUGGGUUUUCCUCUUUGUGCUCAGCUUCAAAUUGUCUUCGGACUGUCUCUUGAGGCAACAAAAUCUCUAUUGAUCGACCUCAAAUCAGGUAGGACUACCCGCUGAACUUAAGCAUAUCAAUAAGCGGAGGA